RNAcentral lists this ribosomal RNA (378 nucleotides) under uncultured Thermovirga sp. RNAcentral describes it as "bacterial SSU rRNA". It matches the Rfam family "Bacterial small subunit ribosomal RNA", at positions 1009 to 1382 of the family's 1533-position model. The record is from RNAcentral. Lineage: Bacteria; Thermotogati; Synergistota; Synergistia; Synergistales; Thermovirgaceae.
ACUUUACUCUUUCGGAGUGAGAGCGUACACAGGUGCUGCAUGGCUGUCGUCAGCUCGUGUCGUGAGAUGUUGGGUUAAGUCCCGCAACGAGCGCAACCCUGCAUUCAGUUGCCAUCGGUAAGGCCGGGCACUCUGGAUGGACUGCCGGCGACAAGCCGGAGGAAGGUGGGGACGACGUCAAGUCAUCAUGGCCCUUAUGUCCAGGGCGACACACGUGCUACAAUGGCCGGCACAACGGGAAGCGAAGGGGCGACCCUGAGCGGAUCCCCAUAAAAGCCGGUCCCAGUUCGGAUUGCAGUCUGCAACUCGACUGCAUGAAGUUGGAAUCGCUAGUAAUCGUGGAUCAGCCAAGCCGCGGUGAAUACGUUCCCGGGCCUU